RNAcentral lists this ribosomal RNA (482 nucleotides) under uncultured bacterium. Its description in RNAcentral is "partial 16S ribosomal RNA". It matches the Rfam family "Bacterial small subunit ribosomal RNA", at positions 30 to 507 of the family's 1533-position model. The record is from RNAcentral.
AUUGAACGCUGGCGGCAUGCUUUACACAUGCAAGUCGAACGGUAACAGGCCGCAAGGUGUUGACGAGUGGCGAACGGGUGAGUAAUGCAUCGGAACGUGCCCAGUCGUGGGGGAUAACUACUCGAAAGAGUAGCUAAUACCGCAUACGAUCUAUGGAUGAAAGCGGGGGACCGUAAGGCCUCGCGCGAUUGGAGCGGCCGAUGUCAGAUUAGGUAGUUGGUGGGGUAAAGGCUCACCAAGCCAACGAUCUGUAGCUGGUCUGAGAGGACGACCAGCCACACUGGGACUGAGACACGGCCCAGACUCCUACGGGAGGCAGCAGUGGGGAAUUUUGGACAAUGGGCGCAAGCCUGAUCCAGCAAUGCCGCGUGCAGGAAGAAGGCCUUCGGGUUGUAAACUGCUUUUGUACGGAACGAAACGGCUCUGGUUAAUACCCGGGGCUAAUGACGGUACCGUAAGAAUAAGCACCGGCUAACUACGUG